CACAUCUUCUCCCUCAAGACUGAAAGCAACCGAAGCAGCCCAAGUGCAGGGGAGGAAUCCCCUUUUCCUGUGUACCCUCAGAGUUUGGUGCAGUGUCUGCAACAGAGGAGCCAUUCACUAAGUGCUUGUGGAAGGACUGAAGUCCCUACUUUCCCGGCCACUGCUCAGCACGAUGGCAGCUUGACUUGGGCUCCUGAUCCACUUGCUGUCAGUCUACGGAGGCGAGGCCAUCGAUUAUUUGUCAUACCUGUCUAUGCGGCAAAGCGCCCUGGAUCUUCACUUGGUUUCCUCAUUCAGGCAUCACUGCAAACAUCUUUUAGGCGCUUACUACGUGUCAGGCAUUGGGCGGUGAACAAAACCUGCUUCCCGUUCUCAAGAAGCUCAACGGGAACACUGAAGAGCUGGACAGUUUCCCUCUUCCAUUUGACAUCUUAGAUCUGGCAGAAUAGAGACUUGAGGUUACAGUGCUGGGCACAUAGCAGGCUUCUUAAAGAUUCGCUGAUAACCAACUAGUGCGUGAGGAUAAAAAGAGGAUUCCGUGUCCUUUGCCUCCUAUCUACCGUGGAGGAUGUGUGAAAUGAAGUGCUAACAUGAGGGCACUGGAGAAACUUCCAGGGAAACAUCCAAGUUAAAGAAUACCCACCUUUUGACAUUGCUAUCAAUAGAUACCUGGAUGAGAAGAAUUCAACAAAAAAAAUUUAGCCAAGAUUCUGGUGCUUGGGGUGCACAGCCUUACACGGUUUCUACAGUUAGAAUGUUUUUGGCUACAAGCAACCCUUCCAUCUCCAACAUGGAUUCCGACUAAAACAAUACAUAACUUUAUUAUUUCACAUAAGAUUAAGUCUUCAAGUAAUGAUGAAUCUGUAAUCAGUUAAGUUACCAUCUAAACAAGAUGCCAGAGGCCAACAUUCUUUCUACCUUGACUCUCUGCUCCCUUUAGCCUGUUGGGUUUUAUCCUGAAGCUGUCAUCCCUUAUGAUCACAGGUGGCUCCUUGUUGUUCUGGUUGCCAUUAUCAUACCACAAAACAACAUCCAGAUGAAAAGACUCCUUUUCUUCAUUUAUGUCUUUUUAUUAUCAACAAAUGCUUUCCUAGAAGCCCCCAGAGACUUUUUCUUAUGUCCCAGGAGCAAGCAUCACCCAGCAUAACAAUUCAUAAACCAAAUGUCAGCAAGGGAGAUAGGAUUAGUGGUACUGGCUUCAGAAGUGAAAUGCAUAAUUUUACAUUAAUGGAAAGCUUUGCCUGUCCACAUCAGGACUCCUUUGGGAAUCUAGAGGACAAAGCAGAAAUAAAGAGAUGUACAGAACUUUUAAUCACCCAGAAGCUGUGAUGCUGCCCCACAAAGCAGCACACUCACUUGGCCCUUAUUCUAGCCCCUCAGUGUUUUUACAUGCUUGUGUGAGUCUUUUGGGUCAGGUUUAAAUCCUGGCUCUUUCAAUUAUUGCUUCAUGAUAUGGGUAAUUAACUCAGUUUCCUUAUUCAGAAAUAGGGAUAAUAAUAGCACCACAUUCAUAGUGUUGUUUUGAAUAUUAAAAUAGUUAGUAUAAGAAAAGCAUUUAGAAAGGUGCCUUGCUAUACGAAAUAAUCAGUACAUUGUACACACACACAUUCACCCAUUGAUUCAUAUUUAUAUGAAUUGAACCGAAUGACAAGAGGAAUCAAAUAUUGUCAAGGUGGAGUCGUGGGACUUAAUUCUGGCCAAUGGAAAAUGGAUGGAAGUAAUGUAUAUCACUUCUAUGAGUGGCCUAUAGAAACUUCCUUUCAAGAUCAAUCCUUCUUCCCUUUCUGACUGGUUGAAUGGAGACAAGCUCUCAGCCCCUCUCCUCAGGGCAACCUAGACAAUCAUGUGGUGAAGACAGCAGGCCUUCCAAAAGAUGCCUACUAGAGAGCACCCUCCCUCCCACACACAGAACACCAAACUGAACUGUAAGGUGAGCAAGAAGUAAUUGUGUUGUCUUUAUUUUAUGUUAUUUCAUUGUGUUAAGUCACAAAGAUUUCAAGCCUUACCUGCUAUGACAGCUAGCAAAUAUCUCAAUAAAUAUACCCAUCUUUGUGGGCCUGGAGAAAUAGAUGACAUAUCUAACUAUGAUAGCAACUGUUUGUAUUUUUCUUUCCUACUAUAAUCUAUCUUUUUAGAAACUCCUGUGGUUACAAACUAGAGGCUGAUAGGCUAGGUUGGGGCACAGAUAUUUUUUAUUUGGCCUGUGCAAUAUUGUCUGGAUUCAUUGUCAACACACACACACCUUUUCAUGUCUGGCAUCUCUGAAAAAGGCAGAAUAUCCAUAACGCUAUUGAUGGCAACUAUUGGCUUGGCCAAAUAGAGGUCCCCUGUCGAUAGAGCAUGGGAUCUCCAUUUGCCACUAUCCCCAACCCUCUUAACUGUAUCAUGGCCAGUCCACAUCCCCUGUGUAUGUUGUCUGCCAGGUCUCUGGAGCCCUUAGGACUUGUUGUUAGCCCCUUUCUUUGUAAAGAGUGCUGGGCUUUCUGAGAGGUGUUCUUUGGUUAGUUUGUUUCUCUAAGCAUUUUCUCCCAAUGACAUUUCAAAUGCCCUUCCAAGUUGUACAGGGCAAGAUGGGGUUUUCCUCCUUCUGUGCAUCUGCAGUACUAAUGGAUGCAGAAUCAGCACUUCAUGUGGAAUCUGAAAGCUGUCAAGCUUCUCCCCUGACUUUCCACUUAGGUGGUGGGAGGGCUUUAUCAACUACCUAAAAUAACCAAAAUGGACCUGCUGCAUUCCUGCUGCAUUUCUUUCCAAUACAUUUGAAACCUUUGUUCAGAUAUUGGACAUGCAAGACAACAAGCGUCAAGACAAUGGAGCCACCAAGAAUUGUGACCCUUUAUCUAGCCCUGGUGUGGAACUAUUAAUUACUGCAGACUAUGCCCCACUUCCCUGAUGCUGAGAACAACAUAAUGAAGCCCUGUGGAGACACUGAGAGAAAGAAUACCUAUCAUUAACUCUUCACACAGACAGAUAAGGCUGGGAAAGUGCAAACUUGGAUAAAACUCUUCUUUAUGGAUAUCCAGGGAGAUGAAGAGUGUUUCUUUAAAAUAAAGCUUGUCUUAAAGAGAAUCACUUUCAAGGAUUAAAGGUAGUAGUAUAUGGGUAACAUGCUUUUAAGCAACAACUCACGGGGACAAAAUGAUAUCCUUUAUGGCCAAAGCACUCUGAAAAAAUGGUUUACAUUCUUCAAAUAUUAUGAUUUUUGUUUAAUUUUUAGAGAAUUGCAAUAAGAUGGUCCCAUUUCCUUAUAGCUCUCUUUUGGUGACCUCAUCCAAAUUUAAGUUUCUAAAUCUGAAUGUAAAUGAAUGGAUCAGACCUGUAUAAGUCAGGGCCAGUGAGAGAAAUGGGCACUUUGUAAUAGAAGUAAUUUCAAAUUCCAGUAAAGCUCUGCUUGAUUUCCCCCUUUUCCAUCUAGCAUGCUAAUCUCCAUCUGGCUGCAGUAGCAGCAUCUGCCUUUAAAAUGACCCUUUUCCUUCUCAGGAAGGAGAGCGAAUUGUGCUCUCCAUGUUUCAGGACUGCACCUCUUCUGGGUCACCCUCCUGACUAAUGUGCUUUUCUAUGAGUAAUAUCAUAAUUCACAGUUUUUUCCCCCUUUUUCUUUGAGACUAACUGGGUAAUUCAAGUUUCAUUUUCUCUCUCUGGGUAUUUAAAGGCCAGCCCUUCAGACCAAUUUUAGCCAUCUAUUACUGGUGAGCCAAUUUCUUGAGAGGCCUAUUUGCAGAGCUGGUUCUGUAAGCUUGAGCCUGCUCCACCAGCCAGGCCCUUACAUUGCAUGUGGAAUUUAUUCAGACAAAGUCAUUUUUUGAGCAUAAAAUGAAUGUCAUGGAGUCAGUAUCACUGACUUUGUAGGCUAUUUUCAGUACCAUUUAGGCACUGAUUGGGCCUUUUACAUGGUCUCUAAUAUUACAGAUUUGGUAAAUAUCAAGUAUUAACCAAACUACUUCUGACACAUUCCAACUCAUGACUUCCUUCCUUUUUAAUUGUGUGCAGAAAUAGAACAGAAUAUGACAAUAGGAAGAUGUUACAUGGUUCUAUGAUUGGUGACAGGAUUAGGGAGAGGAAGCAACUCUCACAAUAUGUCUUAUGCCAAUUUUGGUAAUAAGCAAACGUGGAAUUUGGAUCCAAGCUAAGGUAAAUAUAUUCAUAUUGGUGCACGUAUGCUCCUAUUUUCAUGUAUGUUUUAUGGAAUCUGUCUCAUAAUUUUGUGAUCACAGCUCAUAUACAUGACUAGGACAUGAAAUCUUGUACAUCUAAUUGACAACAGGUGUCAUCCUGUAUAUGGCAAAUGAAUCUGAUAUUCCAUGUAGUGUUUGGUAUGUAUGGUCAUCUACAAAAUCCUAUUUGUGAAAUAUAAAAUUUGGAUUUUGUAUGUGCUUUGUUCUGAAUCUGGAAAGAGAUGGUAUUUCUUAGUGUUUGUCUUUCCUGAUAUGUAGCCCUGAUUAGUUGUAAAAUUGAGGUAUUUAAAAAUGAUUGCUGGAAGCUUUACAGUCUUUGAGAGGAAGGAUAGGAAAUGUCUAAGGAAGUAAGAGGCUUUGGAGUUAUAUGAUAAUCAGACAGAAUAAAACCCACAAUUUUCUGGCUUCUGUAAAUAAUAGGAAUAUCACUGGUCAUGGAGGUAGGUAUAGAGUUGAAACAGUGAUGGCAAGAGCUUUUUCUCCUCUUCUUUGGAACACAUACAUAUUUGGUAACUAUAUAUUUUUUAUUCAUUUUGAGAGAGAGAGGGCAGAGAGGUAGGGAGAGA
Leopardus geoffroyi (Geoffroy's cat) is the source of this 4738-nucleotide long non-coding RNA. RefSeq lists it as uncharacterized. The transcript is spliced from 5 exons. Lineage: Eukaryota; Metazoa; Chordata; Mammalia; Carnivora; Felidae. The record is from RefSeq and is a predicted model, not a curated record.